RNAcentral lists this ribosomal RNA (156 nucleotides) under Triticum aestivum (bread wheat). Its description in RNAcentral is "partial small subunit ribosomal RNA". The record is from RNAcentral. Lineage: Eukaryota; Viridiplantae; Streptophyta; Magnoliopsida; Poales; Poaceae.
AUCGUUUUGGUUGGGGCGCGCCGGGCCCGGGCAGCAGUGCAACGCCCGGGCGACACAGAGGGCCCCAGUGGCAAGCCACUGUGGUGGACCCUCCCCACAAAAAAUAAAUUUAAUAUCGUUGUGAGCACAUGGCCCACAUAUCAGAUAUUAAACUGA